RNAcentral lists this ribosomal RNA (551 nucleotides) under uncultured Actinomycetes bacterium. RNAcentral describes it as "bacterial SSU rRNA". It matches the Rfam family "Bacterial small subunit ribosomal RNA", at positions 8 to 577 of the family's 1533-position model. The record is from RNAcentral. Lineage: Bacteria; Bacillati; Actinomycetota; Actinomycetes.
AGAGUUUGAUCCUGGCUCAGAAUCAACGCUGGCGGCGUGCCUAACACAUGCAAGUCGAACGAGAAAGUGGAGCAAUCCAUGAGUAAAGUGGCGACCGGGUGAGUAACACGUGACUAACCUACCUUCGAGUGGGGGACAACCUCGGGAAACCGGGGCUAAUACCGCAUAAAAUCUUUGGGAAGAGAUGCCCGAAGAUCAAAGGAGCAAUUCGCUUGAAGAGGGGGUCGCGGCUGAUUAGCUAGUUGGUAGGGUAAUGGCCUACCAAGGCUUUGAUCGGUAGCCGGCCUGAGAGGGCGCACGGCACACUGGAACUGAAACACGGUCCAGACUCCUACGGGAGGCAGCAGUGGGGAAUUUUGCGCAAUGGGGGAAACCCUGACGCAGCAACGCCGCGUGGAGGAUGAAGUCCCUUGGGACGUAAACUCCUUUCGACCGGGAAGAUUAUGACGGUACCGGUGGAAGAAGCCCCGGCUAACUUCGUGCCAGCAGCCGCGGUAAUACGAGGGGGGCAAGCGUUGUCGGAAUUAUUGGGCGUAAAGGGCGCGUAGCGG